This 497-nucleotide ribosomal RNA is filed under the name uncultured bacterium. RNAcentral describes it as "partial 16S ribosomal RNA". It matches the Rfam family "Bacterial small subunit ribosomal RNA", at positions 28 to 507 of the family's 1533-position model. The record is from RNAcentral.
GAUGAACGCUGGCGGCGUGCCUAAUACAUGCAAGUCGAGCGAACAGACGAGGAGCUUGCUCCUCUGACGUUAGCGGCGGACGGGUGAGUAACACGUGGAUGACCUACCUAUAAGACUGGGAUAACUUCGGGAAACCGGAGCUAAUACCGGAUAAUAUAUUGAACCGCAUGGUUCAAUAGUGAAAGACGGUUUUGCUGUCACUUAUAGAUGGAUCCGCGCCGCAUUAGCUAGUUGGUAAGGUAACGGCUUACCAAGGCAACGAUGCGUAGCCGGCCUGAGAGGGUGAUCAGCCACACUGGAACUGAGACACGGUCCAGACUCCUACGGGAGGCAGCAGUAGGGAAUCUUCCGCAAUGGGCGAAAGCCUGACGGAGCAACGCCGCGUGAGUGAUGAAGGUCUUCGGAUCGUAAAACUCUGUUAUUAGGGAAGAACAAAUGUGUAAGUAACUAUGCACGUCUUGACGGUACCUAAUCAGAAAGCCACGGCUAACUACGUG